This is a long non-coding RNA of Talpa occidentalis (Iberian mole), 877 nucleotides long. RefSeq lists it as uncharacterized. NCBI's taxonomy places the organism in Eukaryota, Metazoa, Chordata, Mammalia, Eulipotyphla, Talpidae. The record is from RefSeq and is a predicted model, not a curated record. The transcript is spliced from 3 exons.
UGGGAACGGGGACUAGCAGCUUCCUGUGCCAGCGCAAAACCCUCCCCGCCUCCCCUCCCCAACCUUGGGGAACCAGCGAAGUCCACCUGCGGAGGGGUGGCCUGGGCUAGGGGGAGGUUGCGGGAGGAGAGUCUUGACAGCUGGAGGAGCUCUUGGCAGGUCGGCAAGGAAGGCGUUGUUGCGUGGACUGCACCGGAUUGCAGAUCUGUUUAAAACUGGGGGAGAACGUUCGGAACCGUCAGCUUGACGCGCAGCUAGAGGUAGUGAAGAUGCGCUGCUGCUGCUGGCAACGCUGAAGUUUGAGGGUGUGAAAUAACCUGUUAAUCUUACAGCAAGAAACUCCAGCAAUUUUAAUCUCCUUAGGAUCAGGAGACAUCACCUGAGCUAUUGGCCGAGCUGUGAAAGUUUAAAUGAGCCUGAACUUUGACCAUGAUCUUGCCUUCUGCCGUUAGCAAACAUCUGAGAAAAUCUUUGAAAGCUGAGACACAAAUAGGAUUGUGUUUAGCAACAGCAUAAGAAAGUGAAAGAGAAGCAUUUAUCAAGAUGAAAAACGUGACGAGGCAGGCCCUUCAGAGGGAAGACCCUGUGCUGUGACACAGCCCAAGAGCGCGUGCUGACCCUUUUUGAAAUUCCUUGUGCCUGAAGCACCUGCUGCUUAAUUGUCUGCUCUUCAUCUAAUUCUGGAACUUGGCACAGUAUCCACUUACCCAAGCUGGAAAAAUUCAGCGGCCAUCAAUUCAUCGCCGGCGCAGACCAUCACAGCCCAGCUCGCAUGCCUUCGGACUUCGUUAUUCUUAGAACGCAGGAGCUCUACCAGGGGUUCCAGCCCCCCUAAAUUUCUUAACUGAAAGUAGAAACCAAAAUGAUAUGCAUUAAA